UGCGUUUCAAGCCACUGUAAUCUUUUUGGUGCUCAUAUUGUCCCAUCUUAGGCCAGGAGAAGCCCCUCUACUGGAUAUUCUUGCCAGAAAAGUCAAAUCUGAAUCUAUUUUUAGCUUUUAGAGCUACCUUCCAGUUUAUAGGGGCUGAAAGAAUAAGUACCACCAUCAUCCCUUACUGAGGAAUCAGAGACAAAUAGGCUGAUCCCCUAAACAGUCCAGCUCCCCUUCCUCACUUCCUCCUGCCCCUGAAGCGACUGGGCGGCUGUCCAACAGGGAGAUACACUUGAGGGGCAACCAAGGUGAAUAUAGGAGCACAUCUACCAACCUCCUCGAACUAGCUCUGAAAACAAAGCAUGGACAGAAACCUGCUCGAAUGGGCUUUGCAAAUGCUAAUAUGCACAGGAAUCUCAUUUCUGGGGAUCUUAUUAAAGUGCAGCCUCUGAUUCAGCA
Long non-coding RNA from Felis catus (domestic cat), 450 nucleotides. RefSeq lists it as uncharacterized. The transcript is spliced from 3 exons. The record is from RefSeq and is a predicted model, not a curated record. Lineage: Eukaryota; Metazoa; Chordata; Mammalia; Carnivora; Felidae.